AGUGAACGCUGGCGGUAGGCCUAACACAUGCAAGUCGAACGGCAGCACAGUAAGAGCUUGCUCUUACGGGUGGCGAGUGGCGGACGGGUGAGGAAUACAUCGGAAUCUACUUUUUCGUGGGGGAUAACGUAGGGAAACUUACGCUAAUACCGCAUACGACCUACGGGUGAAAGCAGUGGAUCUUCGGACCUUGCGCGAUUGAAUGAGCCGAUGUCGGAUUAGCUAGUUGGCGGGGUAAAGGCCCACCAAGGCGACGAUCCGUAGCUGGUCUGAGAGGAUGAUCAGCCACACUGGAACCGAGACACGGUCCAGACUCCUACGGGAGGCAGCAGUGGGGAAUAUUGGACAAUGGGCGCAAGCCUGAUCCAGCCAUACCGCGUGGGUGAAGAAGGCCUUCGGGUUGUAAAGCCCUUUUGUUGGGAAAGAAAAGCAGCAGGUUAAUACCCCGCUGUUCUGACGGUACCCAAAGAAUAAGCACCGGCUAACUUCGUG
This 492-nucleotide ribosomal RNA is filed under the name uncultured bacterium. RNAcentral's name for it is "partial 16S ribosomal RNA". It matches the Rfam family "Bacterial small subunit ribosomal RNA", at positions 29 to 507 of the family's 1533-position model. The record is from RNAcentral.